AGAGAAUGGUGUAUAAAGGUAGCACGGGGAAUUUUGAGUUCUCAGGGUUAGGUUCAAUUCCUAAAGCUCUAG
RNAcentral lists this transfer RNA (72 nucleotides) under Neotetracus sinensis (Shrew gymnure). RNAcentral describes it as "tRNA-Gln". The record is from RNAcentral. Lineage: Eukaryota; Metazoa; Chordata; Mammalia; Eulipotyphla; Erinaceidae.